CCCAAUCAUGGUGUGCUUGAACUUUGAAGCACCUCUGGGACUGAAAUUUGAUCGAUCUCCAUUCCUUUUCAGAAGUAUAUGGUUCACAAAUUUCAGACUUGCCCACUUGAUGGUCGGAUCAUGUUUCAUGCAAUACAUCACAAUAAGCAUCAGCAUGCAGAAAUUUAGGCAGCAUGCUACCUGCUAUUUUGCAUGGAAAAAACGAGGUGCGGAGAUCAUAG
RNAcentral lists this long non-coding RNA (221 nucleotides) under Setaria italica (foxtail millet). Its description in RNAcentral is "long non-coding RNA (SITA_LNC005435)". The record is from RNAcentral. Lineage: Eukaryota; Viridiplantae; Streptophyta; Magnoliopsida; Poales; Poaceae.